Molecule: long non-coding RNA, 657 nt
Filed under: Chloebia gouldiae (Gouldian finch)
Lineage: Eukaryota; Metazoa; Chordata; Aves; Passeriformes; Passeridae
Description: Erythrura gouldiae (Gouldian finch) lncRNA (ENSEGOG00005003183.1)
Source: RNAcentral
GCCAAAUUGCCUGUGAAGGAGCAUAUUGCUGACAGAGAAGCUGUCACUUGUAUAAAGCUGUCACCAGAAAACGUGCCUGAGUGUUUGAGGAGCGAAGGAAAACAAAACUCACAACUUCUGAGGGACUGCAUCUGAGUGCUGGCUCUCCAAACUGCUGCUCACUUCGUGGUGCUCAGCUCUGAAGCUCUGUCCAGCCUCUGUUCUAGGUCAGCCCUCACAAGGCAUCAGUUUCUGGUGACCAGGAAGGAACAGAAAACAUCUGGAAACCCCCUAGACAGAUCCAGAGGAAUGUCCAGCUCUUUCCCCACCAGACAUCAUCAGUAUCUGAAUUAUUCAACACAGCUUGUUCAACACAGUCAUCAAGACAAUCACUGAAACUCAGGCCUGAUUCAUCCCUGCAAAGGCAGAUCUUGCUUAAAGAAAUCCCACGGAGGUCAGAGCCAGUUCCUGCUAUCAAAGUACAACAAUGCCCCAGGAGUUUGGGGAGAUCAAGGAAGAGCUGGAAGGCAAAGAAGACCACAAGUAGCUGGACAGCUACUGAAAUAAUUCCUGGCAGAUUUGCAUAACCUGCACUUUAAAUCCUCAAAUCAGCAGCUGGAUUAACUCCCUGCAAUGCUGCAAACUGUUGGGUGACCCAGGCUGUGAACCCAGACCCGG